AUUGAACGCUGGCGGCAUGCCUUACACAUGCAAGUCGAACGGCAGCACGGGAACUGGCUGCUGGUGGCGAGUGGCGGACGGGGGAGUAAGACAUCGGAACAGGUCCUUAAGUGGGGGAGGGGGCGGAGGAAGCGGGAUUAAUACCAAAAACGAAUAACGCCUAAGAGCGGGGGAAGGGGGGGUUUGGAGCUAUCGGGAUGGAAGGAGGCGAUGUCGGAUUAGCUAGGUGGAGGGGUAAAGGCCUACCAAGGCGACGAUCCGUAGCUGGUCUGAGAGGAUGACCAGCCACACUGGGACUGAGACACGGCCCAGACUCCUACGGGAGGCAGCAGUGGGGAAUUUUGGACAAUGGGCGCAAGCCUGAUCCAGCCAUGCCGCGUGUGUGAAGAAGGCCUUCGGGUUGUAAAGCACUUUUGUUCGGAAAGAAAUCCUUCGCCCUAAUACGGUGGUGGUAUGACGGUACCGGAAGAAUAAGCACCGGCUAACUACGUG
This 492-nucleotide ribosomal RNA is filed under the name uncultured bacterium. Its description in RNAcentral is "partial 16S ribosomal RNA". It matches the Rfam family "Bacterial small subunit ribosomal RNA", at positions 29 to 507 of the family's 1533-position model. The record is from RNAcentral.